CGGGAGGCAGCAGUGAGGAAUAUUGGUCAAUGGAGGCAACUCUGAACCAGCCAUGCCGCGUGAAGGAUGACGGCCCUAUGGGUUGUAAACUUCUUUUGAAUAGGAAGAAACUUAUCUACGUGUAGAUAACUGACGGUACUAUUAGAAUAAGGAUCGGCUAACUCCGUGCCAGCAGCCGCGGUAAUACGGAGGAUCCAAGCGUUAUCCGGAUUCAUUGGGUUUAAAGGGUCCGUAGGCGGGUCUUUAAGUCAGUGGUGAAAGCCGACAGCUCAACUGUCGAACUGCCAUUGAUACUGGAGACCUUGAGUACAAAUGAAGUAGGCGGAAUGAGUCAUGUAGCGGUGAAAUGCAUAGAUAUGACUCAGAACACCGAUUGCGAAGGCAGCUUACUAACAUGUAACUGACGCUGAGGGACGAAAGCGUGGGGAGCGAACAGGAUUAGAUACCCUGGUAGUCCACGCCGUAAACGAUCAUCACUCGCUGUUGGCGAUAUACUGUCAGCGGCCAAGCGAAAGUAUUAAGUGAUGCACCUGGGGAGUACGCCGGCAACGGUGAAACUCAAAUGAAUUG
RNAcentral lists this ribosomal RNA (570 nucleotides) under uncultured bacterium. RNAcentral describes it as "bacterial SSU rRNA". It matches the Rfam family "Bacterial small subunit ribosomal RNA", at positions 342 to 912 of the family's 1533-position model. The record is from RNAcentral.